This 620-nucleotide long non-coding RNA is filed under the name Chinchilla lanigera (long-tailed chinchilla). RNAcentral describes it as "lncRNA (ENSCLAG00000023197.1)". Lineage: Eukaryota; Metazoa; Chordata; Mammalia; Rodentia; Chinchillidae. The record is from RNAcentral.
CCAAGAUCGCAAGGUUUUAACAUGAACUGUUUCUACCUAACACCCCUGCCUCCCCUUCCCUGUCUACUCUAAAUCAACGCUUGUGCUUUGACAUUUUUCAAUCAGGGCCAUUCUGAUACAAGUGAGGUCACAACGCCCCCCUCACAAUUCCCUACCUGUUGGAAGAAAGCCAACUUCUUGGACAAGAACCAAAAACUUAAACAAACUCGGAGGCCUACUGUCCUGCGGGUUUAAAGGCAUCUUGGAACAGAAGCUUAGUAUAUGGGGAGAAAACAGCAUCAGGGUUUCCUUUUGGAUGAAACAUUCAAGAUCAGAAUCUAUGUUUGACCCAUAUAUUUCAUUGAUAAAAGAAGACGAGCCCAGGAAAUGAAUGCAGAGUUACUCAAGCAUGAAGGCAUUACAGUCUUUUAAAGCUGCUUCCAGAUCCAACCUUUAGUACUUUAAACCAUGUGGACGCUUUAUUUUUAUCUGCAAGCCAGGAAAUAAAAGUGUGGUGACUGAGUCCCGUGUGUCGCCUUUGGGGUGACCUCUUUUUCUAGCAGGGGGCGUGUCUUUUUUUUUUUUUUUUAAUUUCUAAGCAAUGCCACCACUAAAGAGUUAACCGGAUUUCACUUGAUUCC